Molecule: ribosomal RNA, 720 nt
Filed under: Peribacillus simplex
Lineage: Bacteria; Bacillati; Bacillota; Bacilli; Caryophanales; Bacillaceae
Description: bacterial SSU rRNA
Rfam family: Bacterial small subunit ribosomal RNA
Source: RNAcentral
GAUUAGCGGCGGACGGGUGAGUAACACGUGGGCAACCUGCCUAUAAGACUGGGAUAACUUCGGGAAACCGGAGCUAAUACCGGAUACGUUCUUUUCUCGCAUGAGAGAAGAUGGAAAGACGGUUUACGCUGUCACUUAUAGAUGGGCCCGCGGCGCAUUAGCUAGUUGGUGAGGUAAUGGCUCACCAAGGCGACGAUGCGUAGCCGACCUGAGAGGGUGAUCGGCCACACUGGGACUGAGACACGGCCCAGACUCCUACGGGAGGCAGCAGUAGGGAAUCUUCCGCAAUGGACGAAAGUCUGACGGAGCAACGCCGCGUGAACGAAGAAGGCCUUCGGGUCGUAAAGUUCUGUUGUUAGGGAAGAACAAGUACCAGAGUAACUGCUGGUACCUUGACGGUACCUAACCAGAAAGCCACGGCUAACUACGUGCCAGCAGCCGCGGUAAUACGUAGGUGGCAAGCGUUGUCCGGAAUUAUUGGGCGUAAAGCGCGCGCAGGUGGUUCCUUAAGUCUGAUGUGAAAGCCCACGGCUCAACCGUGGAGGGUCAUUGGAAACUGGGGAACUUGAGUGCAGAAGAGGAAAGUGGAAUUCCAAGUGUAGCGGUGAAAUGCGUAGAGAUUUGGAGGAACACCAGUGGCGAAGGCGACUUUCUGGUCUGUAACUGACACUGAGGCGCCGAAAGCGUGGGGAGCAAACAGGAUUAGAUACCCCUGGUAGU